AUUUUCUUAGUUUAAUAGGUUAGAACUGCAUUCUUCUAAAAUGCUAAUUUUGGUUCGAAUCCAAAAGAAAAUA
This 73-nucleotide transfer RNA is filed under the name Marasmius oreades (fairy-ring Marasmius). It matches the Rfam family "tRNA". Rfam says of the family: Transfer RNA (tRNA) molecules are approximately 80 nucleotides in length. Their secondary structure includes four short double-helical elements and three loops (D, anti-codon, and T loops). The record is from Rfam by way of RNAcentral. Lineage: Eukaryota; Fungi; Basidiomycota; Agaricomycetes; Agaricales; Marasmiaceae. RNAcentral also lists the same sequence under 1 other name.